AUUGCACUGGUUCCUAUAUGAUCCCUGAAGUUAAGCAAUAUUGAGCCUGGUCAGUACCUAGAAGGUGACUGCUUGGGAAUACCAGGUGCUGUAAG
Molecule: ribosomal RNA, 95 nt
Filed under: Acanthosepion pharaonis
Lineage: Eukaryota; Metazoa; Mollusca; Cephalopoda; Sepiida; Sepiidae
Source: RNAcentral